AUGGCGUUCACGCCCUCCGCCGCCGUCCACUGCGCCGCGAGGACAUUCUCCCCCUCCGCGCCGCCCCGCGGGCCGGCGAAAUCUGCCUCCUUUGUCAGCGUUCCGGGGGGGCGGCGCCGGGUGGUGGCCGCGGCGCUGGGGGACAUGGACAUGCGCCCGGCCAUCGACGAGAACCCCGAGGGCGUGCUGUCCGGCGAGUGGCCCGGCAACUUCUCCCUCGCCAGCUACGACGACCUCCGCCAGUACCUCGAGUCCCAGAUCGUCUCCACCGACAAGAUGAGCCCCACGGCGAAGCUCGGGGAGGUGAUGUCGCGCCCGGUGGAGGUGGCCACGCCGGACCAGAAGCUGGCCGAGAUCGACGCCCUCUUCGCCACCCAGUCCGGCCUGCCCGUCGUCGACGGCGAGGGCAGGUGCAUCGGGGUCGUCUCCAAGAAGGACAAGGCCAGGGCCUCCAAUGGGUUGGACUCAACCAUUGGAGAAGUCAUGUCCUCUCCUGCUGUAACUCUGACUCUAGAGAAGACUGUCUUGGAAGCUGCUGCACUAAUGCUCAAGCACAAAGUUCACAGGAUACCAGUUGUGAAUGAACAACAGCAAGUGAUCGGUAUCGUAACGCGGACGGACGUCUUCCAGGCCUUGGAGGCCAGCAAGGCGUAA
Molecule: ribosomal RNA, 654 nt
Filed under: Triticum aestivum (bread wheat)
Lineage: Eukaryota; Viridiplantae; Streptophyta; Magnoliopsida; Poales; Poaceae
Description: partial small subunit ribosomal RNA
Source: RNAcentral